GUAGGUGGCAAGCGUUGUCCGGAAUUAUUGGGCGUAAAGCGCGCGCAGGCGGUUCGUUUAAGUCUGAUGUGAAAGACCCACGGGCUCAACCGUGGAGGGUCAUUGGAAACUGGAGAACUUUGAGUACGGAAGAGGAAAGCGGAAUUCCACGUGUAGCGGUGAAAUGCGUAGAGAUGUGGAGGAACACCAGUGGGCGAAGGCGGCUUUCUGGUCUGUAACUGACGCUGAGGCGCGAAAGCGUGGGGAGCAAACAGGAUUAGAUACCCUGGUAGUCCACGCCGUAAACGAUGAGUGCUAAGUGUUAGGGGGUUUCCGCCCCUUAGUGCUGCAGCUAACGCAUUAAGCACUCCGCCUGGGGAGUACGGCCGCAAAGGCUG
This 377-nucleotide ribosomal RNA is filed under the name uncultured organism. Its description in RNAcentral is "partial 16S ribosomal RNA". It matches the Rfam family "Bacterial small subunit ribosomal RNA", at positions 527 to 896 of the family's 1533-position model. The record is from RNAcentral.